UACGGAAGGCAGCAGUGGGGAAUAUUGCACAAUGGGCGAAAGCCUGAUGCAGCUAUGCCGCGUGUAUGAAGAAGGCCUUAGGGUUGUAAAGUACUUUCAUCGGGGAGGAAAAACAAAACUAAUAAUUUUAUUUCUUGACGUUACCCGAAAAAGAAGCACCGGCUAACUCCGUGCCAGCAGCCGCGGUAAUACGGAGGGUGCUAGCGUUAAUCAGAAUUACUGGGCGUAAAGAGCACGUAGGUGGUUUUUUUAAGUCAGAUGUGAAAUCCCUGGGCUUAACCUGGAACUGCAUUUUGAAACUGAAAUACUAGAGUAUCGUAGAGGGAGGUAGAAUUCUAGGUGUAGCGGUGAAAUGCGUAGAUAUCUGGAGGAAUACCUGUGGCGAAAGCGGCCUCCUAAACGAAUACUGACACUGAGGUGCGAAAGCGUGGGGAGC
RNAcentral lists this ribosomal RNA (436 nucleotides) under uncultured bacterium. RNAcentral's name for it is "bacterial SSU rRNA". It matches the Rfam family "Bacterial small subunit ribosomal RNA", at positions 340 to 769 of the family's 1533-position model. The record is from RNAcentral.